Molecule: long non-coding RNA, 199 nt
Organism: Amphibalanus amphitrite
Lineage: Eukaryota; Metazoa; Arthropoda; Thecostraca; Balanomorpha; Balanidae
Exons: 3
Source: RefSeq, a predicted model, not a curated record
UUUUAUUAUAGGCUGGCUGUUAAUUCCAUCUCAAUCUGUCAUCUUUGUCAGGCAAACGUGUCAAACGGUCGUUAUUUCGUGCUCCAGCCUCCAGCCUUGUGGGUGUAUGCAUUCAAGAUGCUUGAAAAGGAAGAACUGAGGAGACUGAAAGGGGAUAUCAUAUGUCCCAGACUGGACGUUUUUGACGGAAUUCAUGAGG